UCAAUCGAAUAUCGAACAACUUAUAUAUCGUCAUAAUAAGGAUGACAGUUUCUAGCCAGCACCGUAAAUGUUGGACUAUAAGUGAAAAAGUAGUGAAA
RNAcentral lists this non-coding RNA (98 nucleotides) under Enterococcus mundtii. Its description in RNAcentral is "Guanine sequence". It matches the Rfam family "Purine riboswitch aptamer". From Rfam's summary of the family: Riboswitches are metabolite binding domains within certain messenger RNAs that serve as precision sensors for their corresponding targets. Allosteric rearrangement of mRNA structure is mediated by ligand binding, and this results in modulation of gene expression. The record is from RNAcentral. Lineage: Bacteria; Bacillati; Bacillota; Bacilli; Lactobacillales; Enterococcaceae.